UACGUAGGGUGCGAGCGUUAAUCGGAAUUACUGGGCGUAAAGCGUGCGCAGGCGGUUUUGUAAGUCAGAUGUGAAAGCCCCGGGCUUAACCUGGGAAUGGCAUUUGGGACUGCAAGGCUUGAGUGCGGCAGAGGAGACUGGAAUUCUUGGUGUAGCAGUGAAAUGCGUAGAUAUCGUAAGGAAGACCAGUGGCGAAGGCGGGUCUCUGGACAGUUCCUGACACUGAGGCACGAAGGCCAGGGGAGCAAACGGG
RNAcentral lists this ribosomal RNA (253 nucleotides) under uncultured bacterium. RNAcentral describes it as "partial 16S ribosomal RNA". It matches the Rfam family "Bacterial small subunit ribosomal RNA", at positions 524 to 776 of the family's 1533-position model. The record is from RNAcentral.